CAGCAGUCGCCACGGUAAUACGGAGGGGGCUAGCGUUGUUCGGAAUUACUGGGCGUAAAGCGCACGUAGGCGGCUUGGUAAGUUAGAGGUGAAAGCCCGGAGCUCAACUCCGGAAUUGCCUUUAAGACUGCCGAGCUAGUAGGUGAGAGAGGUAAGUGGAAUUCCGAGUGUAGAGGUGAAAUUCGUAGAUAUUCGGAAGAACACCAGUGGCGAAGGCGGCUUACUGGCUCAUUCUGGACGCUGAGGUGCGAAAGCGUGGGGAGCAAACAGGAUUAGAUACCCGGGUAGUCCCUGUCUCUUAUAC
Molecule: ribosomal RNA, 304 nt
Filed under: uncultured bacterium
Lineage: Bacteria
Description: partial 16S ribosomal RNA
Rfam family: Bacterial small subunit ribosomal RNA
Source: RNAcentral